GACCUAAGCCGAGGCCGAAAGGCGUAGGCGAUGGACAACAGGUUGAUAUUCCUGUACCACCUCCUCACCAUUUGAGCAAUGGGGGGACGCAGGAGGAUAGGGUAAGCGCGGUAUUGGAUAUCCGCGUCCAAGCAGUUAGGCUGGGAAAUAGGCAAAUCCGUUUCCCAUAAGGCUGAGCUGUGAUGGCGAGCGAAAUAUAGUAGCGAAGUUCCUGAUUCCACACUGCCAAGAAAAGCCUCUAGCGAGGUGAGAGGUGCCCGUACCGCAAACCGACACAGGUAGGCGAGGAGAGAAUCCUAAGGUGAUCGAGAGAACUCUCGUUAAGGAACUCGGCAAAAUGACCCCGUAACUUCGGGAGAAGGGGUGCUCUGUUAGGGUGCAAGCCCGAGAGAGCCGCAGUGAAUAGGCCCAGGCGACUGUUUAGCAAAAACAC
This 433-nucleotide ribosomal RNA is filed under the name Acinetobacter baumannii. RNAcentral's name for it is "partial 23S ribosomal RNA". It matches the Rfam family "Bacterial large subunit ribosomal RNA", at positions 1388 to 1816 of the family's 2925-position model. Lineage: Bacteria; Pseudomonadati; Pseudomonadota; Gammaproteobacteria; Moraxellales; Moraxellaceae. The record is from RNAcentral.